Molecule: ribosomal RNA, 529 nt
Filed under: uncultured Glomeraceae
Lineage: Eukaryota; Fungi; Glomeromycota; Glomeromycetes; Glomerales; Glomeraceae
Description: SSU rRNA
Rfam family: Eukaryotic small subunit ribosomal RNA
Source: RNAcentral
UUGGAGGGCAAGUCUGGUGCCAGCAGCCGCGGUAAUUCCAGCUCCAAUAGCGUAUAUUAAAGUUGUUGCAGUUAAAAGCUCGUAGUUGAAUUUCGGGAUCAUCAGGUUGGUCGUGCCUCUGGUAUGUACUUUCCUCGAUGGUUCCUCCUUCUUGAAGAUCCGUAAUGUCAUUAAUUUGGUGUUGCGGGGAAUCAGGACUGUUACUUUGAAAAAUUGAGUGUUUAAAGCAGGCAAUCGCUUGAAUACAUUAGCAUGGAAUAAUGAAAUAGGACGUUCGAUCCUAUUUUGUUGGUUUCUAGGAUUGACGUAAUGAUUAAUAGGGAUAGUUGGGGGCAUUAGUAUUCAAUUGUCAGAGGUGAAAUUCUUGGAUUUAUUGAAGACUAACUACUGCGAAAGCAUUUGCCAAGGAUGUUUUCAUUAAUCAAGAACGAAAGUUAGGGGAUCGAAGACGAUCAGAUACCGUCGUAGUCUUAACCAUAAACUAUGCCGACUAGGGAUCGGAUGAUGUAAUUUUAAUGACUCAUUCGGC